This 571-nucleotide small RNA is filed under the name Pan troglodytes (chimpanzee). Its description in RNAcentral is "processed transcript". Lineage: Eukaryota; Metazoa; Chordata; Mammalia; Primates; Hominidae. The record is from RNAcentral.
AGUUAUCAGAUUCUCAAACUGGACAGCGACUUAAAGCAAUUAAAGACCACUGCGACAAAUGCUCCUGCUAAUACCACUCCGAAGUUAAUCGCGCAGACGUCUGGACUUUAAAAGCAAAGCGAGUUGAAUUCCUUCUUGUGGACCAUUAAGCGAGACCCACCAUCUUACUUCUUUGGCACAAUCCAUGUCCCGUACACCCGAGUUUGGGACUUCAUCCCCGACAACUCUAAGGAGGCUUUCCUGCAGAGCAGCAUUGUGUACUUUGAGUUGGAUCUCACAGACCCCUAUACCAUCUCAGCUCUCACCAGCUGUCAGAUGCUGCCACAGGGCGAGAACCUCCAAGAUGUGCUCCCCAGGGACAUCUACUGCCGCCUCAAGCGCCACCUGGAGUAUGUCAAGCUCAUGAUGCCCUUGUGGAUGACCCCAGACCAGCGCGGCAAGGGGCUCUAUGCAGACUACCUCUUCAAUGCUAUUGCCGGAAACUGGGAGCGCAAGAGGCCUGUCUGGGUGAUGCUCAUGGUCAACUCCCUGACUGAAGUGGACAUUAAGUCCCGUGGAGUGCCUGUCUUAG